This 374-nucleotide ribosomal RNA is filed under the name uncultured organism. Its description in RNAcentral is "partial 16S ribosomal RNA". It matches the Rfam family "Bacterial small subunit ribosomal RNA", at positions 527 to 896 of the family's 1533-position model. The record is from RNAcentral.
GGGGGGGGCAAGCGUUUGUUUCGGAAUUACUGGGCGUAAAGGGCUCGUAGGCGGCCAACUAAGUCGGACGUGAAAUCCCUCGGCUCAACCGAGGAACUGCGUCCGAUACUGGAUGGCUUGAGUCCGGGAGAGGGAUGCGGAAUUCCAGGUGUAGCGGUGAAAUGCGUAGAUAUCUGGAGGAACACCGGUGGCGAAGGCGGCAUCCUGGACCGGCACUGACGCUGAGGAGCGAAAGCCAGGGGAGCAAACGGGAUUAGAUACCCCGGGUAGUCCUGGCCCUAAACGAUGAAUGCUUGGUGUGGCGGGUAUCGAUCCCUGCCGUGCCGAAGCUAACGCGAUAAGCAUUCCGCCUGGGGAGUACGGUCGCAAGGCUG